CAGAUGCUAUCUUGGGUACGACUGAGCAGUCUCGGAUAUACUUUAACCCAGACAUCAACGCAACAAAUAACUUGAUUAUAAGGAACAAAUGUCAUGUGAAGCAAAUAAUUUCCUUAGAAAAAAGAGGGCCAAGAAAAAGACGCAAAAGCAUAGCUUGCUCCUUGAUUCCAGUUUCUGCAGCCACCAUUGAUAAGCAUGGGAUUGAGCAAAUGAGUAUCAAAAGGAAGUCAAGGAAACUUCGUCCUCUGGGUUGCUUGCGAU
Long non-coding RNA from Triticum aestivum (bread wheat), 261 nucleotides. RefSeq lists it as uncharacterized. NCBI's taxonomy places the organism in Eukaryota, Viridiplantae, Streptophyta, Magnoliopsida, Poales, Poaceae. The transcript has 3 exons. The record is from RefSeq and is a predicted model, not a curated record.